Molecule: ribosomal RNA, 204 nt
Filed under: Equus caballus (horse)
Lineage: Eukaryota; Metazoa; Chordata; Mammalia; Perissodactyla; Equidae
Description: partial 16S ribosomal RNA
Rfam family: Bacterial large subunit ribosomal RNA
Source: RNAcentral
UUGCCUGUUUACCAAAAACAUCACCUCUAGCAUUUCCAGUAUUAGAGGCACUGCCUGCCCAGUGACAUCUGUUUAAACGGCCGCGGUAUCCUAACCGUGCAAAGGUAGCAUAAUCACUUGUUCCCUAAAUAGGGACUUGUAUGAAUGGCCACACGAGGGUUUUACUGUCUCUUACUUCCAAUCAGUGAAAUUGACCUUCCCGAA